This 486-nucleotide ribosomal RNA is filed under the name uncultured bacterium. RNAcentral describes it as "bacterial SSU rRNA". It matches the Rfam family "Bacterial small subunit ribosomal RNA", at positions 26 to 507 of the family's 1533-position model. The record is from RNAcentral.
AGAUUGAACGCUGGCGGCAGGCCUAACACAUGCAAGUCGAGCGGUAGNGAGGUGCUUGCAUCUCUUGAGAGCGGCGGACGGGUGAGUAAUGCCUAGGAAUCUGCCUGGUGGUGGGGGAUAACGUUCGGAAACGGACGCUAAUACCGCAUACGUCCUACGGGAGAAAGCGGGGGAUCUUCGGACCUCGUGCCAUUAGAUGAGCCUAGGUCGGAUUAGCUAGUUGGUGAGGUAAUGGCUCACCAAGGCGACGAUCCGUAACUGGUCUGAGAGGAUGAUCAGUCACACUGGAACUGAGACACGGUCCAGACUCCUACGGGAGGCAGCAGUGGGGAAUAUUGGACAAUGGGCGAAAGCCUGAUCCAGCCAUGCCGCGUGUGUGAAGAAGGUCUUCGGAUUGUAAAGCACUUUAAGUUGGGAGGAAGGGUAGUAACCUAAUACGUUGCUACUUUGACGUUACCGACAGAAUAAGCACCGGCUAACUACGUG